GGUUAAGCGACUAAGCGUACACGGUGGAUGCCCUGGCAGUCAGAGGCGAUGAAGGACGUGCUAAUCUGCGAAAAGCGUCGGUAAGGUGAUAUGAACCGUUAUAACCGGCGAUGUCCGAAUGGGGAAACCCAGUGCAAUUCGUUGCACUAUCGUUAACUGAAUACAUAGGUUAACGAGGCGAACCGGGGGAACUGAAACAUCUAAGUACCCCGAGGAAAAGAAAUCAACCGAGAUUCCCCCAGUAGCGGCGAGCGAACGGGGAGCAGCCCAGAGUCUGAAUCAGCUUGUGUGUUAGUGGAACGGUCUGGAAAGUCCGACGGUACAGGGUGAUAGUCCCGUACACCAAAAUGCACAGGUUGUGAACUCGAAGAGUAGGGCGGGACACGUGGUAUCCUGUCUGAAUAUGGGGGGACCAUCCUCCAAGGCUAAAUACUCCUGACUGACCGAUAGUGAACCAGUACCGUGAGGGAAAGGCGAAAAGAACCCCGGCGAGGGGAGUGAAAAAGAACCUGAAACCGUGUACGUACAAGCAGUGGGAGCACCUUCGGGUGUGACUGCGUACCUUUUGUAUAAUGGGUCAGCGACUUAUAUUCUGUAGCAAGGUUAACCGUAUAGGGGAGCCGCAGGGAAACCGAGUCUUAACUGGGCGUUAAGUUGCAGGGUAUAGACCCGAAACCCGGUGAUCUAGCCAUGGGCAGGUUGAAGGUUGGGUAACACUAACUGGAGGACCGAACCGACUAAUGUUGAAAAAUUAGCGGAUGACUUGUGGCUGGGGGUGAAAGGCCAAUCAAACCGGGAGAUAGCUGGUUCUCCCCGAAAGCUAUUUAGGUAGCGCCUCGUGAAUUCAUCUUCGGGGGUAGAGCACUGUUUCGGCUAGGGGGUCAUCCCGACUUACCAACCCGAUGCAAACUACGAAUACCGAAGAAUGUUAUCACGGGAGACACACGGCGGGUGCUAACGUCCGUCGUGAAGAGGGAAACAACCCAGACCGCCAGCUAAGGUCCCAAAGUCAUGGUUAAGUGGGAAACGAUGUGGGAAGGCACAGACAGCCAGGAUGUUGGCUUAGAAGCAGCCAUCAUUUAAAGAAAGCGUAAUAGCUCACUGGUCGAGUCGGCCUGCGCGGAAGAUGUAACGGGGCUAAACCAUGCACCGAAGCUGCGGCAGCGACACUAUGUGUUGUUGGGUAGGGGAGCGUUCUGUAAGCCUGCGAAGGUGACCUGUGAGGGUUGCUGGAGGUAUCAGAAGUGCGAAUGCUGACAUAAGUAACGAUAAAGCGGGUGAAAAGCCCGCUCGCCGGAAGACCAAGGGUUCCUGUCCAACGUUAAUCGGGGCAGGGUGAGUCGACCCCUAAGGCGAGGCCGAAAGGCGUAGUCGAUGGGAAACAGGUUAAUAUUCCUGUACUUGGUGUUACUGCGAAGGGGGGACGGAGAAGGCUAUGUUAGCCGGGCGACGGUUGUCCCGGUUUAAGCAUGUAGGCUGGUUGUCCAGGCAAAUCCGGAUAAUCAAGGCUGAGGUGUGAUGACGAGGCACUACGGUGCUGAAGUAACAAAUGCCCUGCUUCCAGGAAAAGCCUCUAAGCAUCAGGUAACAUCAAAUCGUACCCCAAACCGACACAGGUGGUCAGGUAGAGAAUACCAAGGCGCUUGAGAGAACUCGGGUGAAGGAACUAGGCAAAAUGGUGCCGUAACUUCGGGAGAAGGCACGCUGGUGUGUAGGUGAAGUCCCUGCGGAUGGAGCUGAGACCAGUCGAAGAUACCAGCUGGCUGCAACUGUUUAUUAAAAACACAGCACUGUGCAAACACGAAAGUGGACGUAUACGGUGUGACGCCUGCCCGGUGCCGGAAGGUUAAUUGAUGGGGUUAUCCGUAAGGAGAAGCUCUUGAUCGAAGCCCCGGUAAACGGCGGCCGUAACUAUAACGGUCCUAAGGUAGCGAAAUUCCUUGUCGGGUAAGUUCCGACCUGCACGAAUGGCGUAAUGAUGGCCAGGCUGUCUCCACCCGAGACUCAGUGAAAUUGAACUCGCUGUGAAGAUGCAGUGUACCCGCGGCAAGACGGAAAGACCCCGUGAACCUUUACUAUAGCUUGACACUGAACAUUGAGCCUUGAUGUGUAGGAUAGGUGGGAGGCUUUGAAGCGUGGACGCCAGUCUGCGUGGAGCCAACCUUGAAAUACCACCCUUUAAUGUUUGAUGUUCUAACGUUGGCCCCUUACCGGGGUUGCGGACAGUGUCUGGUGGGUAGUUUGACUGGGGCGGUCUCCUCCCAAAGCGUAACGGAGGAGCACGAAGGUUAGCUAAUCCUGGUCGGACAUCAGGAGGUUAGUGCAAUGGCAUAAGCUAGCUUGACUGCGAGCGUGACGGCGCGAGCAGGUGCGAAAGCAGGUCAUAGUGAUCCGGUGGUUCUGAAUGGAAGGGCCAUCGCUCAACGGAUAAAAGGUACUCCGGGGAUAACAGGCUGAUACCGCCCAAGAGUUCAUAUCGACGGCGGUGUUUGGCACCUCGAUGUCGGCUCAUCACAUCCUGGGGCUGAAGUAGGUCCCAAGGGUAUGGCUGUUCGCCAUUUAAAGUGGUACGCGAGCUGGGUUUAGAACGUCGUGAGACAGUUCGGUCCCUAUCUGCCGUGGGCGCUGGAGAAUUGAGGGGGGCUGCUCCUAGUACGAGAGGACCGGAGUGGACGCAUCACUGGUGUUCGGGUUGUCAUGCCAAUGGCACUGCCCGGUAGCUAAAUGCGGAAGAGAUAAGUGCUGAAAGCAUCUAAGCACGAAACUUGCCCCGAGAUGAGUUCUCCCUGAGACUUUAAGUCUCCUGAAGGAACGUUGAAGACGACGACGUUGAUAGGCCGGGUGUGUAAGCGCAGCGAUGCGUUGAGCUAACCGGUACUAAUGAACCGUGAGGCUUAACCUU
This 2902-nucleotide ribosomal RNA is filed under the name Klebsiella pneumoniae. RNAcentral describes it as "23S ribosomal RNA". It matches the Rfam family "Bacterial large subunit ribosomal RNA". RNAcentral also lists the same sequence under 2 other names. Lineage: Bacteria; Pseudomonadati; Pseudomonadota; Gammaproteobacteria; Enterobacterales; Enterobacteriaceae. The record is from RNAcentral.